RNAcentral lists this long non-coding RNA (987 nucleotides) under Setaria viridis. RNAcentral's name for it is "long non-coding RNA (SVIR_LNC007812)". The record is from RNAcentral. Lineage: Eukaryota; Viridiplantae; Streptophyta; Magnoliopsida; Poales; Poaceae.
GAGGAGUAGGAAGGAAUGUGACAGGAAGAAGGUGCCGGAGAGCUGGGGAACCAAGGAAAGUGCUAGAGGGAGAAGAAGGCCUGUGCGCUGAGGAAGAAGGACGUGAGCUCGUAAGGGAAGUACGGGAUGUGCUAAUAUUUAAAGGAGGUCUGAGAAGGGGUAAAAAUGGAAUUUUUACCGCGCCGGCGUUUCGAGUUUUUCGGGAGUACUGGUUGUCAUGGGCGCCCGUUUCGAAAAGAUUGCAAUCAUCAGAUUGGAGACCGCGAAACGGAAGGAUAUUUUCAUUGCGUCUGUUUCGGAAGGGAAGUUGAAAAGAAUUUCGAAGUAAAGACUACGUUUUACUCCGAAACUGGGGGGCAUGUGUUGACGCCAGAUUUCGACACGAGUGAAAUCGGCGUUAAGAGAGGAAGAAAUUAGAAGAUAUGGGGAGAUACAAGGGUGACGAUUGGAAAUCGGCCGAUUGGUGCUACAGUCAAAGAUCGGUUGGUUGGUGCUACAGUCAAAGAUCGGUUGGUUGGUGCUACAGUCAAAUAUCGGUUGGUUGAUGCUACAGUAAAGGAUCGGUUGAUUGGUGCUACAGUCGAGGAUCGGCCGAUUACUGCUACAGUCGAAGAUCGACCGAUUGAUCCUUGGAUCUCCGCCCCGGAGUAAGUCUGAGCCCUCGAUAUGUGGGUCCUGAUCGGUUACCCCUUGCUGAUGAGGUGAUCGGCUGAUUAGGAGGUUGGAAUAGUUGGGCCGGUGUGGGCUUAAAAAGGAUUAUGAAGAUGAAGAGGGAAUCAGCCCAUGAAGCGCGUGAUAAUUAACCUAGUACGAAUCGUACUUGUAAAUAUUCGUUUUCUGUUUAAAUUAGGGAUAGAGUUCUAGUCGGAUAAGAAGUCGUUUGUACGGGGCUAUAAAUAGCCACCCUUGUAGAUCUGUAAUCAUCAUCAACUCAAUACAACAAACUACUAUUUCCUCGUACUUACUUUCAAGCAGGCGACUUCGCCA